CCUACGGGAGGCAGCAGUGAGGAAUAUUGGACAAUGGGUUAGCGCCUGAUCCAGCCAUCCCGCGUGAAGGACGACGGCCCUAUGGGUUGUAAACUUCUUUUGUAUAGGGAUAAACCUACUCUCGUGAGAGUAGCUGAAGGUACUAUACGAAUAAGCACCGGCUAACUCCGUGCCAGCAGCCGCGGUAAUACGGAGGGUGCAAGCGUUAUCCGGAUUUAUUGGGUUUAAAGGGUCCGUAGGCGGAUCUGUAAGUCAGUGGUGAAAUCUCACAGCUUAACUGUGAAACUGCCAUUGAUACUGCAGGUCUUGAGUAAAUUUGAAGUGGGCUGGAAUAAGUAGUGUAANCGGUGAAAUGCAUAGAUAUUACUUAGAACANCAAUUGCGAAAGGCAGGUCACUAAAGAUUUUAAACUGACGCUGAUGGAACGAAGGGCGUUGGGGAAGCGAAACAAGGAAUCAGAUAACCUCGGUAGUCCACGCCGUAAACGAUGCUAACUCGUUUUUGGGUUUCGGCUUCAGAGACUAAGCGAAAGAUAAUAGAAGUUACCAGCCUGGGGAGUACGUUCGCAAGAAUGAAACUCAAAGGAAUUGACGGGG
Molecule: ribosomal RNA, 596 nt
Filed under: uncultured bacterium
Lineage: Bacteria
Description: bacterial SSU rRNA
Rfam family: Bacterial small subunit ribosomal RNA
Source: RNAcentral